Vespa mandarinia (Asian giant hornet) is the source of this 475-nucleotide long non-coding RNA. Lineage: Eukaryota; Metazoa; Arthropoda; Insecta; Hymenoptera; Vespidae. The record is from RefSeq and is a predicted model, not a curated record.
AUCAUUAAUUUUAUAGCAUCAUUCAAGAAAUAUUUACUUGCUUUACUGUCUGCCAGUCGAUGAAAAAUUAUAUUAUAUCCAUUGGGAUCCGGUACAGAUGUACAUAUAUGACAUAUAUGUAUUUAUGUACGAUUAGAGUUCAAUGCACUCGUCAUGUUCGUGCAUGAAGAGAAAGCCUAAAGAAUUGUACAAUACAUAUAUACAUAUAUAAUAUAUAUAAUAUAUUGUUAUCACGUAACCAACAUUACGAGUAUCACAGUAGAGAUGUCACGUAAAAAUAUUUAUAAAUAUCUAACCAAUUUUCAAUAAAAUUGUUAUAUCUAAAAAAAAAAUCAUAUUCCAUAAUUUAUCCCAUGGUAAAGUAAAAAAAAGAAAAAAGAAAAAAAAAAGAAGAAGAGACAAAUAAAGCUUACAGUACUUUCAGGGAACAUUGCAAGUUAUCUAAUUUGAUAUCACGAUUGCUAAAAAAUUCCGG